This 388-nucleotide ribosomal RNA is filed under the name uncultured bacterium. RNAcentral's name for it is "bacterial SSU rRNA". It matches the Rfam family "Bacterial small subunit ribosomal RNA", at positions 420 to 806 of the family's 1533-position model. The record is from RNAcentral.
GGAUUGUAAACUUCUUUUAUAUGGGAAUAAAGUGCACCACGUGUGGUGUUUUGUAUGUACCAUAUGAAUAAGGAUCGGCUAACUCCGUGCCAGCAGCCGCGGUAACACGGAGGAUCCGAGCGUUAUCCGGAUUUAUUGGGUUUAAAGGGAGCGUAGGCGGAUUGUUAAGUCAGUUGUGAAAGUUUGCGGCUCAACCGUAAAAUUGCAGUUGAUACUGGCAGUCUUGAGUGCAGUAGAGGUAAGCGGAAUUCGUGGUGUAGCGGUGAAAUGCUUAGAUAUCACGAAGAACUCCAAUUGCGAAGGCAGCUUGCUGGACUGUAACUGACGCUGAUGCUCGAAAGUGUGGGUAUCAAACAGGAUUAGAUACCCUGGUAGUCCACACAGUAAA